This 76-nucleotide transfer RNA is filed under the name Gordonia sp. (in: high G+C Gram-positive bacteria). RNAcentral's name for it is "Gordonia sp. tRNA-Ala". It matches the Rfam family "tRNA". Rfam says of the family: Transfer RNA (tRNA) molecules are approximately 80 nucleotides in length. Their secondary structure includes four short double-helical elements and three loops (D, anti-codon, and T loops). Further hydrogen bonds mediate the characteristic L-shaped molecular structure. tRNAs have two regions of fundamental functional importance: the anti-codon, which is responsible for specific mRNA codon recognition, and the 3' end, to which the tRNAs corresponding amino acid is attached (by aminoacyl-tRNA synthetases). tRNAs cope with the degeneracy of the genetic code in two manners: having more than one tRNA (with a specific anti-codon) for a particular amino acid; and 'wobble' base-pairing, i.e. permitting non-standard base-pairing at the 3rd anti-codon position. Lineage: Bacteria; Bacillati; Actinomycetota; Actinomycetes; Mycobacteriales; Gordoniaceae. The record is from RNAcentral.
GGGGACUUAGCUCAGUUGGUAGAGCAUCGCCUUUGCAAGGCGAGGGUCAGGGGUUCGAUUCCCCUAGUCUCCACCG